This 222-nucleotide ribosomal RNA is filed under the name uncultured bacterium. RNAcentral's name for it is "partial 16S ribosomal RNA". It matches the Rfam family "Bacterial small subunit ribosomal RNA", at positions 111 to 334 of the family's 1533-position model. The record is from RNAcentral.
UAACGCGUGGAUAACCUGCCUCACACAGGGGAGUAACAGUUAGAAAUGACUGCUAAUACCGCAUAAGCGCACGGCAUCGCAUGAUGCAGUGUGAAAAACUCCGGUGGUGUGAGAUGGAUCCGCGUCUGAUUAGGUAGUUGGUGGGUAACGGCCCACCAAGCCGACGAUCAGUAGCCGACCUGAGAGGGUGACCGGCCACAUUGGGACUGAGACACGGCCCAA